This 311-nucleotide long non-coding RNA is filed under the name Phasianus colchicus (ring-necked pheasant). Its description in RNAcentral is "lncRNA (ENSPCLG00000008523.1)". Lineage: Eukaryota; Metazoa; Chordata; Aves; Galliformes; Phasianidae. The record is from RNAcentral.
GUGAUAGUUGGAGGGAUGCACUGAAGCAGUUCACACAUUGUGCAAACCAGUUUGCCCAUUCUGUUGGCAUCCAGUACAGCUUCUCAGGGGUCUAAAGCUGUUCUGGAAAUCUGCAGCCAGUGAGUCUCACCAUUAAUUCUACCAUUUCAUCCUGCAGAUCUGACCUCUUUUAAGAGUGAUUUGAUGUUUCUUUAAGCAACACCCCGUCUCUAUGAAGAAAUGCCAACAGAGGAGAAGUUUCAGGCUUGCUAUUUUUAUUUAAGCUGUUGGAACGGUAUGGACAUAAUAAGUGUUUUGGAAUAGACAUCAGC